Molecule: ribosomal RNA, 492 nt
Filed under: uncultured bacterium
Lineage: Bacteria
Description: partial 16S ribosomal RNA
Rfam family: Bacterial small subunit ribosomal RNA
Source: RNAcentral
AGUGAACGCUGGCGGUAGGCCUAACACAUGCAAGUCGAACGGCAGCACAGUAAGAGCUUGCUCUUACGGGUGGCGAGUGGCGGACGGGUGAGGAAUACAUCGGAAUCUACUUUUUCGUGGGGGAUAACGUAGGGAAACUUACGCUAAUACCGCAUACGACCUACGGGUGAAAGCAGGGGAUCUUCGGACCUUGCGCGAUUGAAUGAGCCGAUGUCGGAUUAGCUAGUUGGCGGGGUAAAGGCCCACCAAGGCGACGAUCCGUAGCUGGUCUGAGAGGAUGAUCAGCCACACUGGAACUGAGACACGGUCCAGACUCCUACGGGCGGCCGCAGCGGGGAAUAUUGGACAAUGGGCGCAAGCCUGAUCCAGCCGUACCGCGUGGGUGAAGAAGGCCUUCGGGUUGUAAAGCCCUUUUGUUGGGAAAGAAAAGCAGCAGGUUAAUACCCCGCUGUUCUGACGGUACCCAAAGAAUAAGCACCGGCUAACUUCGUG